GAUGAACGCUGGCUGCGUGCCUAAUACAUGCAAGUCGAGCGAACGGACGAGAAGCUUGCUUCUCUGAUGUUAGCGGCGGACGGGUGAGUAACACGUGGAUAACCUACCUAUAAGACUGGGAUAACUUCGGGAAACCGGAGCUAAUACCGGAUGAUAUUUUGAACCGCAUGGUUCAAAAGUGAAAGACGGUCUUGCUGUCACUUAUAGAUGGAUCCGCGCUGCAUUAGCUAGUUGGUAAGGUAACGGCUUACCAAGGCAACGAUGCAUAGCCGACCUGAGAGGGGGAGCGGCCACACUGGAACUGAAGCGCGGUCCAGACUACUACGGGAGGCAGCAGUAGGGAAUCUUCCGCAAUGGGCGGAAGCCUGACGGAGCAAAGCCGCGUGAGUGAUGGAGGUCUUCGGAUCGUAAAACUCUGUUAUUAGGGAAGAACAUUUGUGUAAGUAACUGUGCACAUCUUGACGGUACCUAAUCAGAAAGCCACGGCUAACUACGUG
Molecule: ribosomal RNA, 497 nt
Filed under: uncultured bacterium
Lineage: Bacteria
Description: partial 16S ribosomal RNA
Rfam family: Bacterial small subunit ribosomal RNA
Source: RNAcentral